CACACAGCGAUUUGCAAGUGAAUGCGAGGGGAGGGCGCAUCCAAGACGAGAGCAGUGGAUGAAAGGCUUCCCCUCCCCCGCAGGGCAGAAAGACUCUCUGUUUCAAGGCUAAGAAAUUUGAAUUUCAUGCCCAAAUGUGUGUGGGGGCAGAUGUAAGUCAUGAUCUCAAGGUUCUUGAGUCUGAGUCCAGCCUAGACCUCCAAGCUGACAGCACUGGAGCCUGCUUGAGAUUCUCUCUCUCUCUCUCUCUCUCUCUCUCUCUCUCUCUCUCCGUCUCUCUCUCUCUCUGCCCUCUCCUGCCCAUCGUCUCUCUCUCUCUCUCUCUCUCUCAAAAUACACAGAUACACUUUAAAAAAAAAAUAGAAAAUAUUUCUGCUCAACAAAAUGAUAUUUAGAGCAGAAAACGAUUUUUGAAUCUUGAUGUCACAUACGAGGGCACUAAACUCUGGAAAACUGUAAUGUGUGUGAUAAUCGAGUUAGAAUUCUCAACCUGAUCUCUUGCUUACCCAUAGUUUUUUCAACAGAAUGCUUUAACGUUACAGUCAGGUAAAAAUAAGUACUCCAAUUUUUUUCCUGUAAUGCAUUUGUUAAUAUACAUUAAUAUACAUGUGUGUCUUCAAUAUAAUACUGCCAUUGACAUAUUAAAGUUGGUUGUCAAGAGAAAUUGUAGAAUCUCAUACUGUUUGCAUGUUAUACAGUCUUUAGUUAAGUGCGGGAGGGAUGAUGAACACACACAUGAUGGCCUCUUUCUGUAUGCUUGUUUGUUGUUAGUUUUAGAAUAAAUGACUGCAUAUGUGAUGAGUUAUUUGGAUUACAUUUAAAUGGGUCCAAUUUAAAAAAUAACCAAAGGCUGAAAUCAGAUGUGAAAUGCUAUUUUAUUCAUGAAAAUAUAUGAUGUGAUGAUAUAUUCCUAAAAUAAUAGUUUCUCAACAAGACAGAAGUUUGUUCUUCUCUUACAUAAAUUUCUGAGUUGGUAUCAUUGCCCUGCUCUGUGUAGUCAUCAGAAACUCAGAUUGUCUUCAUGCUCAACCGUUAUUAAGGAAUUGAAUUCAUAUAGAUGACCCAAGAGAGAUCACCCCCACAUCUGCUUUUUAUAAAGAGAAAUAAAAUGAAGAAGAAAAGGAUGCUCCCUUCCCUUAGAAUCUUCUGUGAUUUCAUUGGCUGGAAACUAGAUACUUGACCACAAAUUUGUUGUGAGAGAGACUUGGGAACAUAGUAUUUAUUCUGCAAAGCCAUUUGCCCAGCCAAGGCCAUUGAUACUUUUAGAGAAGUAGAUAACAAAAUUGGAUACAAAUAGCAGUAGUGCUGGCAUAGGUUUUCUAGCUUUUUAGAGGAAAAAAAUUGUUUUUGUCUAAAAUUGAAAUUCAUCGUAGUGUUGGAGAACGGCACCCAUGCAAAAUGAUUGUAAUAUUUUAAAGCUUUACAGUAUGAGACAAUGGUCUUGCCUGUUACUGCAUUUUCUUUUAUGAUCAGGCAAUAUGUGUAGUAAAUAAUAAACAUCUAUGUAUUCCAAAGUUCAGGAAAUACAGAUACAGAUGUAUGAAAGAGAGAGAGCAUUUGAAAAAUGAAUGUAUUAAAACUUAUCCCAUUUUCCUUGAUACCCUCCUUUUAAGAGAGCGACUCAUAUGCUAUCUUAUUGAACAUAAGCUUUAGUAAUAAAAAUUAAAAUACAGAACAAACAGAACAUUACUUCAAAAUUAAAACCUCUAAUAAGGAGUUUUGUUUUAUUAAACAAUAUAAUUUUCAAUUCCUUCUUUUUUUCACUCUGUAAAUGGGUUAACAGGAUUCUGCAAAUCUAUUUCUUUUGAGUUUUCUGUAGAAAUAUUACGCAAACUAGUUGUGUGAGUUAGGUAAAACUGCCUUAGAGUCACCAACGUUAAGAAAUGGUAACCCACAGGGGCACCUGAGUGGCUCAGUUGGUUAAGCAUCCGGCUUCAGCCCAGGUCAUGAUCUCAAGGUUGGUGGGGUUGAGCCCCACCUUGAGCUCUGUGCUGACAGCUCUGGAGCCUGUAACCUGCUUUGGAUUCUGUGUCUCCCUGUCUCUCUGCCCCUCCCCCACCCCCCGCUUGCUCUUUGUCUCUCUCAAAAAUAAAUAAAGAUUAUUAUUAUUAUUAUUAUUAUUUAAAGAAAUGGUAGCCCAAUGAAAAGCCCAAGAAAAAGAAAAGACAGUAAAAUCUGUAUGAAUGGGAUCAAUGAGUCAGUGCCUCAGAAGUAUCCCUCAUUGUAAGGAGAGGCCACAUGUCCAUUGUAAGAAAAUAAAAGCAGAUAAAAACUUGAAACAAGUUA
Long non-coding RNA from Neofelis nebulosa (Clouded leopard), 2286 nucleotides. RefSeq lists it as uncharacterized. The transcript has 3 exons. NCBI's taxonomy places the organism in Eukaryota, Metazoa, Chordata, Mammalia, Carnivora, Felidae. The record is from RefSeq and is a predicted model, not a curated record.